This 103-nucleotide non-coding RNA is filed under the name Planococcus sp. PAMC 21323. Its description in RNAcentral is "Purine riboswitch aptamer". It matches the Rfam family "Purine riboswitch aptamer". Rfam says of the family: Riboswitches are metabolite binding domains within certain messenger RNAs that serve as precision sensors for their corresponding targets. Allosteric rearrangement of mRNA structure is mediated by ligand binding, and this results in modulation of gene expression. The record is from Rfam by way of RNAcentral. RNAcentral also lists the same sequence under 1 other name. Lineage: Bacteria; Bacillati; Bacillota; Bacilli; Caryophanales; Caryophanaceae.
AGUGAUAAACAUUAUAUCGCUCGUAUAAAUUCGGUAAUAUGGUCCGAAUGUUUCUACCAGGUUCCCUUUAAAGAACCGGACUACGAGCUAGAGUUUUGAUUGC